RNAcentral lists this ribosomal RNA (554 nucleotides) under Trichormus variabilis BAC 9611. Its description in RNAcentral is "bacterial SSU rRNA". It matches the Rfam family "Bacterial small subunit ribosomal RNA", at positions 135 to 722 of the family's 1533-position model. Lineage: Bacteria; Bacillati; Cyanobacteriota; Cyanophyceae; Nostocales; Nostocaceae. The record is from RNAcentral. RNAcentral also lists the same sequence under 1 other name.
GGUCGGGGACACCACUGGAAACGGUGGCUAAUACCGGAUGUGCCGAAAGGUGAAAGAUUUAUUGCCUAGAGAUGAGCUCGCGUCUGAUUAGCUAGUUGGUGUGGUAAGAGCGCACCAAGGCGACGAUCAGUAGCUGGUCUGAGAGGAUGAUCAGCCACACUGGGACUGAGACACGGCCCAGACUCCUACGGGAGGCAGCAGUGGGGAAUUUUCCGCAAUGGGCGAAAGCCUGACGGAGCAAUACCGCGUGAGGGAGGAAGGCUCUUGGGUUGUAAACCUCUUUUCUCAGGGAAUAAGAAAGUGAAGGUACCUGAGGAAUAAGCAUCGGCUAACUCCGUGCCAGCAGCCGCGGUAAUACGGAGGAUGCAAGCGUUAUCCGGAAUGAUUGGGCGUAAAGCGUCCGCAGGUGGCACUGUAAGUCUGCUGUUAAAGAGCAAGGCUCAACCUUGUAAAGGCGGUGGAAACUACAGAGCUAGAGUACGUUCGGGGCAGAGGGAAUUCCUGGUGUAGCGGUGAAAUGCGUAGAGAUCAGGAAGAACACCGGUGGCGAAAGC